AUGGCGAGCCGGCAGCUGCAGGUGCUGAGCGCGCUGGACGGCGCCAAGACGCAGUUGUACCACUUCAGGGCGAUCGUCGUCGCCGGCAUGGGUUUCUUCACUGACGCCUACGACCUCUUCUGCAUCUCGCUCGUCACCAAGCUCCUCGGCCGCAUCUACUACGCCGACCCCUCCAGCCCUAACCCUGGCUCGCUGCCGCCCAACGUGGCCGCGGCCGUCAACGGCGUCGCGCUCUGCGGGACCCUCGCCGGCCAGCUCUUCUUCGGCUGGCUCGGCGACAAGCUCGGCCGGAAGAGCGUCUACGGCAUGACGCUAAUGCUCAUGGUCGUCUGCUCCGUCGCCUCCGGGCUCUCGUUCGGACACACCCCGGCCAGCGUCAUGGCCACGCUCUGCUUCUUCCGCUUUUGGCUCGGCUUUGGCAUCGGCGGCGACUACCCUCUGUCCGCCACCAUCAUGUCCGAGUACGCCAACAAGAAGACGCGCGGAGCCUUCAUCGCCGCUGUCUUUGCAAUGCAGGGCUUCGGCAUCCUCGCCGGCGGCGUCGUCACGCUCGUCCUCUCCACGGUUUUCCGUAACGCGUUCCCGGCGCCAGCGUACCAGGUCGACGCCGCCGCGUCCACCGUGCCGCAGGCCGACUACGUGUGGCGCAUCAUCCUCAUGCUCGGCGCGCUGCCAGCGGCGCUCACGUACUACUGGAGAACGAAGAUGCCGGAGACGGCGCGGUACACGGCGCUGGUCGCAAAGAACGCGAAGCAGGCCUCGCUGGACAUGUCCAAGGUGCUUCAAUCGGAGAUCGAGGCGGAGCCGGAGAAGCUCGACGAGAUCAUGGCCAGCGGCGAGGAGUACGGCCUCUUUACGUCGCGGUUUGCCAAGCGCCACGGCCUCCACCUCCUCGGCACGGCGACGGCGUGGUUCCUGGUCGAUGUCGCGUACUACAGCCAGAACCUAUUCCAGAAGGACAUCUUUGGCAGCAUCGGCUGGAUCCCCAAGGCGCGCACCAUGAACGCGCUCGAGGAGGUGUUCCGCAUCUCCCGCGCGCAGACGCUCAUCGCGCUCUGCGGCACCGUGCCGGGCUACUGGUUCACCGUGUUCCUCAUCGACGUCAUCGGAAGGUUCUGGAUCCAGCUCGUGGGGUUCGCCAUGAUGACCGUUUUCAUGCUCGGCCUCGCGGUGCCUUACCACCACUGGACGACGCCGGGCAACCACGUCGGCUUCGUCGUCAUGUACGGGCUCACCUUCUUCUUCGCCAACUUCGGGCCGAACGCAACGACGUUCAUCGUGCCGGCCGAGAUCUUCCCGGCGCGGCUCCGGUCGACCUGCCACGGCAUCUCGGCUGCGGCGGGGAAGGCCGGUGCCAUCAUCGGGGCGUUCGGGUUCCUCUACGCGGCACAGUCGCCGGACCCGGCGCACGUGGACGCCGGGUACAAGCCUGGGAUCGGCGUGCAGAAGGCGCUGUAUGUGCUCGCUGCGUGCAACCUCCUGGGGUUUUUGGUCACGUUCCUCGUGCCGGAGUCGAAAGGGAAGUCGCUCGAGGAGAUGUCCGGCGAGGCCGACGCCGAGGAAGGCAACGGCGCCAAUAAAGUCCGCCCGUCGGGAGAGCAGCUGGUUUGA
Molecule: ribosomal RNA, 1611 nt
Filed under: Triticum aestivum (bread wheat)
Lineage: Eukaryota; Viridiplantae; Streptophyta; Magnoliopsida; Poales; Poaceae
Description: partial small subunit ribosomal RNA
Source: RNAcentral